UCAGAGGUGAUGAAAGAAAAACGUCUUUCUGCAGGAGGUGUGACCAGUGAAUACUUGGCUGUAGCUGAGAGGGGCCAAAACAACGAUAGCAUUGCAUGCUGAACAUAUUUCCAGGAGAUGGAUCUGCCUGCAUAGGACAAAGAAGAUCAAAGCCUCUCCAGGAAAGAGCAGCAGCACUGAGGAGAACGUGCAUCCAGCACUCAGGUAAGAUCUGAUGAGCUGCUUGCUUUAAACAAUGUGUCUCACCAUGAUAUAGAAGCAGAACAACCAGGGAGCUCCUUCAGUACACCUGUCUGAAAAAAAGAACCCUGUAAAGGACAGUCCCCUUCAACCCUUAUUCAGAUGCAUUCCCUGGAAAGCUGCACGCAUGGGUUACAGCAGCAAUAAUAUCAACAAAGGAAAGUUCUGUGUGCUGAUGUGCUUCUCCCAAGCCAUGCAGCCGCUUGCUGAGUUUCACACAAUUCACAGCUCUCCUGCAGGCCACGCAAAUACACCCUGCUCAUUGAAUUAUCAGACAGUAAUGCACUACUGGGAUUUGCACAAACUAACUCAUACAUUGUGAGGGAAGAUUAAAAGAGAUUAUAUUAGAAUGAAAUAAGUGGCAGCCCCUUUUUUAAUUUAGUCACUUACUACUGUACUCCGGCACUGCCAGCCAGACAGCAAAU
Molecule: long non-coding RNA, 665 nt
Organism: Polyodon spathula (Mississippi paddlefish)
Lineage: Eukaryota; Metazoa; Chordata; Actinopteri; Acipenseriformes; Polyodontidae
Exons: 3
Source: RefSeq, a predicted model, not a curated record